Cannabis sativa is the source of this 689-nucleotide long non-coding RNA. RefSeq lists it as uncharacterized. The transcript is spliced from 4 exons. NCBI's taxonomy places the organism in Eukaryota, Viridiplantae, Streptophyta, Magnoliopsida, Rosales, Cannabaceae. The record is from RefSeq and is a predicted model, not a curated record.
CAUCCAUGUUAUUGGAAGCUAUCAGAUAUAUGCAAUGCCAGUUUUUGAUAUGAUUGAAACUGUGUUAGUGAAGAAGAUGAACUUCACACCUACUUUUUGUGUCCGAUUUUUCACUCGUGCCACUUAUGUUUGUGAGUAUAUUCUAUAUAGUGUUUUAAAUUAUUAAAUGUCUAUAUAUUUCUCUACAUAUAUAUAGAGUAAUUAAUAACUAUCAAACAAUAAUAAAAUUACUGUUUUUGUUCAGUAAUGACCAUGGUUGUAGUUGUAGCUAUGGCUAUUCCUUUCUUUGGUGGUCUCCUUGGUUUCUUAGGUGGAUUUGUGUUUGCUCCAACCACAUAUUUUCUUCCAUGUGUUAUGUGGCUUUCUAUCUACAAGCCUAAAAAAUAUAGUUUGUCUUGGAUUGCAAAUUGGUUUUGCAUAAUAUUGUGAGUAACAUUGAUGGUUGUAGCACCUAUUAUUAGGACAAUCAUCAUUUCAGCUAAGAACUACAAAUUUUUUGGUUGAACUUAUUAAUUAUAUUAUAGAUUGUUUUAGUGUGUUAAUAGUUUUCGUUUUCUUUUUUUUUUUUCCUCCCUUUGAAAUUUUAGCUUAUAUUAGAUUAGUUUAUGUUUUGGUAUUUUAUUUAAUUAGUUUGGACAUCAAUUAAGUUUUUUUCUGAGUAAUAAUUUUGGAAGUAUUUUUUUCUCUUA